Molecule: ribosomal RNA, 440 nt
Filed under: uncultured bacterium
Lineage: Bacteria
Description: partial 16S ribosomal RNA
Rfam family: Bacterial small subunit ribosomal RNA
Source: RNAcentral
CCUACGGGUAGCUGCAGUGGGGAAUAUUGCACAAUGGGGGGAACCCUGAUGCAGCGACGCCGCGUGGGUGAGGAAGUACUUCGGUAUGUAAAGCCCUAUCAGCAGGGAAGAAAAUGACGGUACCUGACUAAGAAGCCCCGGCUCACUACGUGCCAGCAGCCGCGGUAAUACGUAGGGGGCAAGCGUUAUCCGGAUUUACUGGGUGUAAAGGGAGCGUAGACGGGGUGCCAAGUCUGAUGGGAAAGGCCGGGGCUCAACCCCGGGACUGCAUUGGAAACUGGCAUGCUGGAGUGCCGGAGAGGCAAGCGGAAUUCCUGGUGUAGCGGUGAAAUGCGGAGAUAUUAGGAGGAACACCGAUGGCGAAGGCGGCUUACUGGACGGUAACUGACGUUGAGGCUCGAAAGCGUGGGGAGCAAACAGGAUUAGAUACCCCUGUAGUC